Molecule: unclassified non-coding RNA, 412 nt
Filed under: plant metagenome
Description: partial contains 5.8S ribosomal RNA, internal transcribed spacer 2, and large subunit ribosomal RNA
Rfam family: 5.8S ribosomal RNA (bases 1-104)
Source: RNAcentral
AAGUGCGAUAAGCAAUGCGAAUUGCAGAAUUCCGCGAGUCAUCAGAUCUUUGAACGCAAAUGGCGCCGGAGGGAUAUCCUUCUGGCAUGUCUGUUUCAGUGUCUGAGAGGUUUCACCAACAUCUUAAUGUGAUUGACAGCAGCAGCAGCAGCAAGCAAUUGUUGUGGUUGGUGUUGUCUCUCAUGAAAGAUGCGCGAGUGGAUCUUUCGGUCCAAUGAAGUGGUCACAUCACUCGUAUGUGAUUUCAUUGGGAGCACCGAAUUAUCCGCCAUGCUCGCGGUGUCAUCAUAUAAUAUAUGACGAAAGCAAGAAAGAAAGAAAGAGCUUCUUUCUUCUUCUUCUUUGGUUGUAUUUUUUUUCUCUCUCUACACCCUGCAUCUGAGAUAGGCAAGAUCACCCGCUGAACUUAAGC